This 253-nucleotide ribosomal RNA is filed under the name uncultured bacterium. Its description in RNAcentral is "partial 16S ribosomal RNA". It matches the Rfam family "Bacterial small subunit ribosomal RNA", at positions 524 to 776 of the family's 1533-position model. The record is from RNAcentral.
UACAGAGGAUGCAAGCGUUAUCCGGAAUGAUUGGGCGUAAAGCGUCUGUAGGUGGCUUUUCAAGUCCGCCGUGAAAUCCCAGGGCUCAACCCUGGACAGGCGGUGGAAACUGCCAAGCUGGAGUACGGUAGGGGCGGAGGGAAUUUCCGGUGGAGCGGUGAAAUUCGUAGAUAUUCGCAAGAACACCAGUGGCGAAGGCGGCUCACUGGCCCGAUACUGACGCUGAGGCACGAAAGCGUGGGGAGCAAACAGG